This 253-nucleotide ribosomal RNA is filed under the name uncultured bacterium. RNAcentral describes it as "partial 16S ribosomal RNA". It matches the Rfam family "Bacterial small subunit ribosomal RNA", at positions 524 to 776 of the family's 1533-position model. The record is from RNAcentral.
UACGUAGGUGGCAAGCGUUGUCCGGAUUUACUGGGCGUAAAGAGCGCGCAGGCGGUCGUUCAAGUCGCGUGUGAAAGCCCCCGGCUCAACUGGGGAGGGUCACGCGAUACUGAUCGACUGGAAGGCAGGAGAGGGUAGUGGAAUUCCCGGUGUAGUGGUGAAAUGCGCAGAUAUCAGGAGGAACACCGGUGGCGAAGGCGGGUCUCUGGGCAGUAACUGACGCUGAGGAGCGAAAGCGUGGGGAGCGAACAGG